Molecule: long non-coding RNA, 9000 nt
Organism: Rattus norvegicus (Norway rat)
Lineage: Eukaryota; Metazoa; Chordata; Mammalia; Rodentia; Muridae
Source: RefSeq, a predicted model, not a curated record
AGAAGCCACGGCGGGCCCCCUGGGCCUGUACCAAAGUCCGGCGCGGAGGGGUGGGGGAGUCCGGGGGCCAUACCAUCAAGUCCCGGGGGAGGGAGUCUGCUCCGUAAACUCUGCAGCCGGCUUCACAGUUGGGAGCGUGUGCAAAGAUCAGAGGCCAACUUUCUCGUUUUACCGAGAAUAUGCCGAGGCUUCCCGGGGAAAGAUGCUUGCGCAAGGUCAGGCAGCUAAAAGACUAGGUUUGGUCUGGAUUAGAACUCGAGAGAGAGAAAUGAAUGACAAGGAACAGAAAGAAAAUAUCCAAAGGCCUACUGUAGUGGGGCAAGACCUUUCGUGUUCACAAGUUCUGAUGGACUCAAAGCUCCUUUUCAGUUGGGCGUGGUUGCCAUGUCCUUGAUCCCAGCAUUCAGGAGGCAGAGUCAGGAAGGUCUCUGUAGAUUGAGGCCAGCUUACUCUCCAUCGCGAAAGCCUCUCUCAAAAAUAUAACAAAACAAUUUUACAGAUAAAGUUGAAGAACUUCAGGUCUUUGGGAGUUAUUCAAUGUUACAAAUUAAAUUCCAUUUCCAAUUGUACACACUUUUAAAAAAAAAAAAAGACAAAACCCUAUAUGCCCCAGCAUGGUGACAAAGUAGCAGGACUUGAUGCUUUGUAUUUUUUUUGUUUAUUUUUGUUUUUUUGGUUUUUUUUUUCGGAGCUGGGGACCAAACCCAGGGCCUUGUGCUUGCUAGGCAAGCAAGCGCUCUACCACUGAGCUAAAUCCCCAACCCCUGAUGCUUUGUUUUUUUUGUUUUUUUGUUUUUUUUUUUGGUUCUUUUUUUUCGGAGCUGGGGACCGAACCCAGGGCCUUGCGCUUCCUAGGUAAGUGCUCUACCACUGAGCUAAAUCCCCAGCCCCAUGAUGCUUUGUUUUUAAUUUACUAGAAAGAGUGCUCCUAUGUAAUGGCACUCAUGAGGGGUGGGUGGGGGCGGGGCGGGCCUGAGAUGCCGAUCAGAGGACAGAGGACAACUUUCAAGAGACAGGAGUUGGUUCUCUCCUUUCACUAAUUUAGGUCCCGGGGAUUGAACUGAACUCUUGGUCAGGCAUGGUGACAAGCACUUUUAUGCACUGAACCAUCUCACCUAACCAGAACUUAGUUUUUGUAAACUGAAAGUCUAUGUUUUGGGUUGUUUGUUUGUUUGUUUGUUUGUUCGUUCCUUUGUUUUUUGUUUUUAGAGACAGGGUUUCUUUCUGUAGCCCUGAGUGUUUUGCAAUUCACUCUGUAGAUCAGGCUUCCCCACUCCCCCACCCCCAAACCAUGCCAGCAAAAUUUCUUAACCUUCCUAUUACUGACACCCUGGCUGUCUUCAGCCUUGUGGAUGUUAAUUGGCAUGCCUGGCCUUCUUAGAUGCCAGUGGCAACACCCUACACACACCCAUACUGUGACACCCAAAAUUGUCCUUAGACAUUGACAAAUGUCUGGGAGUGUCAAGAUGGCAGGAAACUGUCCUCUCCCAUGCUCCUACAGAACCACCACACCAGAUCCUGAAUCCAUCAAUCUUCAAGCAGUCAUUACUGGUCAACCAAAAGGCUCUGCGCUGAGCUUUUUUUUUUUUUUUAAACCACAGUGCUGGACAGACAUAGCGGCACCCGAGUUUCAUACCAGCGCUGGGCUGUGGAUCUCUGUGAUGGCUUCCCUGCUGGCUUUAGUUAUAGAAUGCUGACCAGCGCAGGUGAGGUUCCGAACCAGGAGCUACCAUUCCAAACCGAUGCCGGGAUUCAUUAAGGUCAAGCACACCAGCAUUUCCGGCUGAAUGUCAGGCUCACAUCUAUGUGCCAAUGACGGUCACAUACUCCACAACACACAUGCCAGCAGCGAGACCCUGACUGAGUCACCCCUCAGCUUCCUCUUCUAGAAUACAGAGUAGUCCUCGUUCCUCCUCACGGAGUUACGGCGGGGACUGAAUGAGCCAGUACACAUAAGAUGUGCCUGACUAGGAGGCGUGCUUUUAUAAGGUAUACCUGAGAUCGUUCUAACUUGACGACAGUGAUGGGUACUCGGGGAUGAGAGCCCAUGGACAGAGCAGUGAGGAGGCAUCUCGAGCUUUUGGGACUAGGCCCAGGAGGUGAAUACUAGGCUGUGAGAUAGGACAAGCCCAGAGCUGGGAAAUCUUUUAGCCUCUAACUGUUAGAGGAGUCUAACCUGAUUCAAAGUGUCUUUACACUCCUGGGAUCAAUUUCAGCACCUGUUGCCCUGGGCCUGUGGGAAGUUUCGGCUAAUCUGACCUCUGUUUUGUUUUGUUUUUUUGGUUCUUUUUUUUUUUUUUUUUUUUCGGAGCUGGGGACCGAACCCAGGGCCUUGUGCUUCCUAGGUAAGCGCUCUACCACUGAGCUAAAUCCCCAGCCCCUAAUCUGACCUCUGAACUAGCUUAUUCUUUUCUGUGGCAUUUUCUUUCUGCAAAGGUUAUCAAAUUCCUUCUAGAAAAAUCCCACCUAUAGGCUUAGAGAUAUGGUUCGGUGGUAGCACUGACCAUGCAUGCACAGGGCCUGGGUCUGAUGCCCAGGUACACAGGCCCAUGCCUGUAAUACAAGCACCUCCUCGUGAGGUAGAAGCAGGAAUAUCGGGAGCUCAGGGAGCAUCUCAGACUCAGAGAGAGUUAAAGGCCAGCCUGGGCUACGUACAACAUUGUCUCCAAAAAAGUAAUGGCUAAAAAAUAAACAUUCAAUAAAAUCCUACCCAUCGUGGGUGAACAUGGGGUAAGGACCUUUUCUAGAAGGAGGAGGGGUCUAUGUGGUCUCUUUACCUGUUAGGUCUCUGUAGGAAAGGACCAGUGCUUACUGAGCAGCUCCCAUGGGUCAGAGUGUUUCCCAAAAUCCAUUGUUGUACACCGGGAAACUGAGGCUCAGAGGGUAACAUAACUUACCCAGAGUGAUGACUAGCAAUGGCUUAGUGUGCCCUAAGCACUAUUCUGAUCUCAUAUUUAAGAAACCAGAGGUCAAGCAGUGGUGGCACACUUCAAUCCCAGCAUUUUGGAGGCAGAGACAAAUGGAUCUCUAAGUUUUGAGGCUAGCCUGGUCUACAUAGUGAGUUCCUGGACAGCCAGAGCCACACAGAGAAACCCUGUCACACACACACACACACACACACACACACACACACACACACUCACACCAGAGAGAUAGAGAGACAGAGAGAGAGACAGAGACAGAGAGAAAGGUUUUACCUCCUGUGCCAGUCUACUUCUGGCAUACUAGGUGGCCACAAUUAAGCAAGGAAGAGCUGGAGUUUUUUAGAGGUGUGGGGACUCAGAGGCAGAGACAGGAUCUAGCAGGAAAUGAAGCAUCUAACAGAGGAUUUCAGAGUCACAAGCCCAAGUGAAUGGAAGAGAAGCAACUUGGAGUUUCAGAGUCUGAGCCUGGGUAGAAGAGAGCGGGAACGUAUGGAUUUGCUCCCCUUCCUCAUAGACUUGGAGUUGCUUCUCUUUUUUUUUUUUUUUUUUCUUUUGUUUUUUUGGAGCUGGGGUCCGAACCCAGGGCCUUGCGCUUGCUAGGCAAGUGCUCUACCACUGAGCUAAAUCCCCAAUCCCUUGGAGUUGCUUCUCUUAAUGCUCACCUGGGUAAGGGAUCCGGCCAUGGGUGACGAUCUCUGUCAGCAGGAUCCCGAAGGACCACACAUCUGACUUGAUGGUAAAGGUCCCAUAGUUAAUGGCUUCUGGUGCUGUCCACUUAAUGGGAAACUUGGCCCCUAGAGGGAAGCGAAGUUAGUUCACCUGAGUGUAUUUGCUCUCCUGCAGGUGGUGAACCUCCUCUCUGUCCCACACCUACCCUCCCGGGCCGUGUAUUCAUUGUCCUCAAUCAGACGUGCCAGGCCAAAGUCUGCAAUUUUGCAGCUCAGCGUGUCAGACACCAGGAUGUUGGCAGCCCGCAGGUCACGAUGGAUGUAAUUCUGCUCUUCGAUGAACGCCAUGCCCUCUGCAAUCUGCAGGCCAGGAGUAGGUCACCAGUGUUUAUCUCACUGACCUGUAGCCGCACAGGUCAUGCCCUUUGCCAGUCUCCUUACCUGGGCUGCCAUGUCCAAAAGUUUGUUGACGUUCAACUUGAUGCCCGAGGGAGUCUUGAGGAAAUCUACUAGGCUCCCUGUGAGCAAAAGCAAGAGUUGUUGACUUAAAUUGCCCAGGGGGAAGCCCCUAGACCCUUCCAGCUCCACGUAGGUUCUGGAAGUAGUGCCUGACCUCGGCAAGGAAGCUCACUCUGACUGAGAAGAGAGUGUGUGCUUGGGGGUUGGAGGGGGGAUGCUGUGAGGAAGGUGGGGACACUUAGCAUAUGGGAUGGCCUUUUAGAGGGCUAGGAUGGGCAGAGGAUCCAGAGGCUUUUUUCAUCAGUUAAGGCAGAGCCCCAUCUCUGCAGCAGCCAAAGCCCAGCAGCAUGUUUCAUGGCUGUCUUCUUCCCAAAGGCCUGUCUUUCUCUACCACAGACUAUUGUUGGAUUCUUCACACAGAGUGCUAGACUCUUUCUUCCAAAUCGCUUUGCUUCAUCUCUUGUCUUCUAGAAAUUUUCUUCUUUUCCUUUCCUGUCUGGCUGGAUCACUCUUCUACACUAUUCCUACCAGCCCUCAUAAAUUCCUCACCUAAUCAGCAGGGCAAUUGUGGCACGCAAUUUGAAUCCCAGUACUAGGGAGGCAGAGGUAGGCAAAUCUCUGAUUUGGGGACCAGGAAAGCCAGGGCUACACAGAGAAACCCUAUCUCAAAAAACCAAAAACAACAACAAAAAGAGGCCAGGGAACGGUGAUGCACAGCUUUAAUCCCUGGGGACACAGAGGCAGACGGAUCUCUGUGAGUUCACGGCCAGCCUGGUCUACAGAGAGAGUUCCAGAACAGCAAAGGCUACACAGAGAAAUUCUGUGUUUUAAAAAAAAAAGCCUUGUGGUAGUGGCCUUUAUUCCAUGCACGGGGGAGGCAGAGGACACAGAGAAACCCUGUCUUGAAAAGCCAAACCAAAAAAGAACGAAAUGAAAUGAAAUAUCUUCACUAUCUACAUUCCUAGGGUAUUUGGGAACAUCCCUAAGUCACAAACUGCUUUUCUCAGUGUCCAUGAUCAAAAUCAGGUUUCAGCUGGUUACGACAGCAUACACCUUUAAUCCCAGCACUCAGGAGACAGAGGCAGGCAGAGCUCUGACUCCAGGGCCAGCCUGGUCUACAGAGUGAGUUCCAGGACAGUCAGGGCUACACAGAGAGACCCUGUCUUAAAAAGAAAAAAAAAAAACAAAACAAAACUACCAAUAAGAAAACCUAUUUGCCAUUUCCAGGAAUCAUUAGCCAAUGAACAGUUUGUUUCCCUUUCUGAAAGGUGGACAGAUUUUUGUACUCUAAACAUUGUAAACCACAUCAAAACAAGGCUGGACAGGAACUGUUCCUCUCAAUCCCCAUAGCAACCAUGGAGAAUUACUCUUCUCUUAGCACCACUAUGUUUUAAUUACAUGUAUUAUAUUCAUAGGGGAUGGCACACGUAUGUGCCAUUGCACACGUAUGUACAGUUGUCCUCUAUAACUUUCAAGAGUCAGCUCUUUCCCUCUAUCAUGUGGAUUCCAUGCAUUGAACUCCUGUUUGUCAGGCUUGACAGCAAGCACCUUUAUCUGACGAGCCAUCUUGCUGGCCCUAAACCCACUAUUUUACAGAUUAAAAAGAACUAUUUGCAGCAGAAAGCAAUGAUGUGAUCAGCCCAAAGCCAUACAAGAUUAUAAAGCCUCAACUCUAUCCGGGCAGUCAGACUCUUGGAUCCUUCACAAACAUACUACAUGUUGGGGCUAGAAGGUGGCUCAGUGUUUGAGGAGAGCACUGGCUGUCCCUCCAGAGGACCUGGGUUUGAUCUCCAGUAGCUCACCACUGUCUGUAACUCCAGGGUAUCCCACACCCUUUUCUGGUCUCUUCAGGCACCAGGCACCGCACACUAUUUCUUGGGUCAAGCAUUCUGGGAUCCAGGUGGGCAUUGGCAGAAGGCAACAGAAACUGCACAUCAGGGACUAUCAGAAUUAGAACUGAUAGAUCAGAGGCCUAGGGGCCCAGGAAAGCGUCCUUAGAAACCUUCAGUGGCAGGCCAGAGAAAAAAAGCACAUUCCUAGCCUGGGUGCAAAAGGCAGUGAGGCCACAAUAGCGCCCUCAAGCGGCUGGACAUGGAAGCAUACCCACCGUUCUCCAUGUAUUCUGUGAUAAUGUAGAUGGGCUCCUGGGUGACCACUGCAUAAAGCCGGACGAGCCGCGGGUGCUGCAGCUGCUUCAUGAGGUUAGCCUCUGCCAGGAAGGCAUCAGGAGACAUACUCCCUUGCUUCAGACUUUUCACUGCCACCUUCGUGUGUCCAUUGUAGUAUCCUGGGAGACGGGAUACGGGUAGAGGAGUUACAGAGGUCAAGAUCCUGACGAACCAGGCAGCCGCCCUGAAUAGGCCAGUGUGAGAGGAAGCUCACACUUCCUCCCCUCUUUCCAAUCAGUACAGAGAGCCACACUCACCCAUCCACACUUCCCCGAACUGGCCAGCUCCCAGCCGCUCAACCAACUUCAAUGUCUCUCUGGGAACUUCCCAUUCGUCCUCCCACCAUGGUUUCUGGGGCUUCUGGGUCUGGCAAGGACGGCUCAAUUUUGUGCACAGCCCAUCAGAGGCGUCUGCAUGGACAAAGGAGAAGGAUGGGGUCUCACUGCAUUGCCCAGGCUGGUCCAGCACUCUUGUGUUCAAGUGGACUUUCUGCUCAGCAUCAUAGGUGGCUGGACGAACACUGUCACUCAAACACUGUCACAUGUAGCUUUGACUUUCGAUUUUAGAUGAUCAAAGCAAGCCCCAGGGAGGCCUGCCUGAAGCAGUACAGCAAAACAAGCCUUGUUAAUUUAUGCCGUAUCCAAGUUGAUGUGGGAGCAAGGGGAGACAUCUGGCUAGCAGACUUCAGAAGACCCAGCUUGAGAAUCUGAAAGACCUAUGCUAAAAUAUUACUUGGAUUGUAGGUCUAUGAUCCCGGCCCUUGGGAGGUAGAGGCUGGAGGAUCAAAAUGUCGAGGUCAGUCCUCAUUACACAGGGAGUUCGAGACCAGCCUGGAUUCCACGAAAUCCUCUCUUAGAAACAAGGCAAACUGAGAACAAAACUCCAGAAAACAAAAUGCAGUAAGAUAAUACUAGUGUGCCUGAUUUUGUCCAAACCAUUCUUCUCCUCGUCUGUCACUGAGAUUUGCCAACCCCUUUUCUUAGGUCACCCGAUAUAUAUUAGCUCAGUUUGCAGGAGCUCGGAAAGGCACCCACCAGCACCCUUCAGCUUUACCCACCCCUGCAUGGGACUGUGAGAAACCGGAAUUGAAGACUAAUCCUCUUCAGGCUCAUGGUUUUUAACCUGAGCCACUCAUAGCAUCCCACGGGUUCCGGAACUUACAGUGUGCAUCUCCCUGGGUAUUAGACUGUAAACAAUGUGUGGCUAUAUGAGGGAUAAUAAAACAUCCCUGGAACAUUGAGCCAAAUCAAGAAACAUCUUCAGAGGGGUUGUGGAGGUAGUUCAGUGGGUAGUGCUUUGCCAAAUAUCCUAAGCUUCAAUUGCCAGCACUGAAUAGACUCGGACUUGGUGUGUGUUCCACACAGGUAGUUCUAGCACUGGAGUGGAGGCAGGAGAAUCAGGAUUUCAAGGUUAGCUUGGGAUACAAGAGACCUCGCCUCAGAAACUAGUGGGGAGGGGGAGACUCAAGAAAGGAGUAGACGAACACAUUCACACAUUCACUCUUCCUUCAUCCCGUGGCUGGGAGGCCAUAACUCAACUCAUCAAGGCUCCAUGGGCUGUCUUAUCAGCUCAGCUAUCUUAUGGCCAGACAGUGGCUGGCAGUGGCAGGAACUCCCAGAAGAAAAGUGGAGAGUGAGUAAGCAUCCUGUUUGUGAUUUGCAGGGGCCCUAGGAAAACACGGGUUGGUUAAGCUGUGCCACAGUGGGUGAUCUGUGCACUUAGAGCGGUAAGGUGGUGCCUUUUAGAACUGGCAUUUUUAGAGGCUUUGGGAAAAGGCAAGAGACACGGUGUGAUGACUCAGGCCUUUUAAAUGGAGCUCUCAGCUCUGGGAGGCAGAUGCAGGCAGAUUUCUACUUGGUCGAGGUUAACCUGGUCUACAUGGUGAGUUCCAGGCUAUCCAAGGCUACAUGAUGAGACAUACACUGGGUCUCAAAGGAAAAAGAAAAGAAAAGAAAAAAAAGCAAACACAAGAAAUACAUUUGGGGUUAAGGACGGUGAUUUAGGGGCUGGCUUGGUUAGGAACCCUUGCCACUCCUCCAAAGGACCUGGGUUUGAGUCCCAGCAGCCACGUUUUGGCUCACAACCGUCUAAGUCCAGUUCCAAGGGAUCUGAUAUCCUGUCUUCCGCCCACACCGUGAGCUCAGGCACUUCAGCAGCACACAGACACAGAAAAUUUAAAAAAUGUAAAAAAGCAAAAAGAAGGAGGAGGAGGAGGAGGAAGAGGAGAGGAUGGUGAUUUAAGACCUAAUGGCAUAGGUUGCAGCUGGGUGUGUUGCUGAGAUAGGAAGAUCAAGAGUUCGAGGCUAACCUGUGCUACUACACGAAACCUAUCUGGGGCAAGAGAGAUGGUUUGAUGCUUGAAAAGCACAGAACCAGAGUCUGGCUCCCAGCCCCCACCAGGCUGCCUGUAAGCCUAGCUCUAGAAAGGCCUCACACCUCUGGCUUCACACCUCUGGCUUUCACAGUCAUCUUACGCAUACAUAGCACCCCUCCUCCACAUACACAUAAUUAAAAGUAAGAUAAAUAUUUUUGAAGGGGGCUGGGGAGAUGGCGAGAUGGUUCAGUGGCUAAGAGCACUGGGUGCUCUCUCAGGAGGCAGGAAUUUGAUUCCCAGUACCUACUUAAAGGUUCACAGCCAUCUGUAACUUCAGUUCCAGGGGAUCUACCCUCCUCAGGUCUCCUCUGGCAAGAGGAAUUCACAGAGUGUACAGAUAUACUGACAGACAUAAAUACACACACACACACACACACACACACACACACACACACACACACAAACAA